AUGAAGAAUAAACACCAACCUCCUUGUUCCUCGUGUUUUAUUUCUGGUUCCUCGUGUUGUAUUCUCCAGGUUUCUGGUUCCUCGUGUUUUAUUCUCCAGGUUUCUGGUUCCUCGUGUUUUAUUUCUGGUUCCUCGUGUUGUAUUCUCCAGGUUUCUGGUUCCUCGUGUUUUAUUUCUGGUUCCUCGUGUUGUAUUCUCCAGGUUUCUGGUUCCUCGUGUUUUAUUCUCCAGGUUUCCGGUUCCUCAUGUUUUAUUCUCAACAUUUCUGGUUCCUGGUCUUUUAUUGUACAGGUUUCUGGUUCUUCGUUUUUUAUUCUCCAGGUUUCCGGUUCCUCGUGUUUUAUUCUCAACAUUUCUGGUUCCUGGUCUUUUAUUCUCCAGGUUUCUGGUUCCUCGUCUUUUAUUGUGCAGGUUUCUGGUUCCUUGUCUUUUACUCUCCAGGUUUCCGGUUCCUCGUGUUUUAUUCUCAACAUUUCUGGUUCCUGGUCUUUUAUUGUGCAGGUUUCUGGUUCCUGGUCUUUUAUUGUGCAGGUUUCUGGUUCCUCGUCUUUUACUCUCCAGGUUUCCGGUUCCUCGUGUUUUAUUCUCAACAUUUCUGGUUCCUCGUCUUUUAUUCUCCAGGUUUCUGGUUCCUCGUGUUUUAUUCUCAAAAUUUCUGGUUCAUCGUCUUGUAUUGUGCAGGUUUCUGGUUCCUCUUGUUUUAUUGUGCAGGUUUCUGGUUCCUCGUGUUUUAUUUCUGUUUCCUCUUGUUUUAUCGUGAAGGUUUCUGGUUCGCUCGUGUUUUCUUCUCUCUCCGAUUUUACAAACUCCAUCUUCACAGCAGCAGAUCUCAGUUCAGAUGAUAAACUCCUCCAGAUAUUCCUGCUCGCUUCAAAACUCAGUCACGACUGUGAGGACGAGAAUAUUACAGGCAAAUUGCAUUAGUGUGCGUAAAGGGACGGAGCUACCACCAAUACAGAAAUACACAGAGUGCUGCAGCCGGUAUCACUGCCCGCUGUGCAAUUCAAACACAGUGGGGUACUGUGGAAACAGAAGACGUGGAGACCUGCGAGGGUUUUAUAGAGACCCUGAAUUUCCUGAGCAUUGCCCAGACUGCCAGUUUUAGGGGGCAGGAAUGAGGUGUGGUGUGCACAGUGUGCAAUAGUUUAUUUGGAACUGUUCAUGUUUUAUUUCCUCUUGAAAUAGGGACUUCCCCCACAACCUUAAGGAGCCUGACUGUGGCAUCUUCAUUCUGAUGGUCAGAUUUGACAAAUUGUACUAAUUAGAUUGUGUAAUUUCCAAUAAAUAUUGCAAAACCAUGAAGUGUUUAUUUGAUCUGGAUUGUUUGGUAAAUUGUAUGAUCAUGUGAAUCUACGUAUAUUUUAAAAACAGAAGUGGUUACAUUUACAAAAAAUAAAUAAAAAAUAAGGAUUGAAUAUCCAAAUGGGCAAGGCAAAAAACUGUGGUCAAUUAACAUGUACAAGUCUGUUGUAUUGACAAAAUGUCAUAGUCCAUUGAUCUAGGCUGAAUUUAAGUCACAAAAAAUAGUGAUAUGAUCUGAACAAUAUAUAUUUUCAUGGUGGUUCUUGUGAAUGCAGUUUGCAUGAAUUAUUGAUGUUAUAAUAUUAAGUGUAUUAUUGAGAAUUGUUUUAUGUAAAGAGAUAUGAUAAAGAUAAUAUUUCAAUUUGCACACAGUUUUUAUAUUAUAUAUUUUAAGUCAUAAAAGUAAAAUGACAAUACGGAAAAGACGUGUGCAAUUAAGCCUGCAAAGAAUGCUGUCUAUCCACUGGUGAAAACAGAAAAUAAAUAUGCUGUCUAUCCUUAUGUGAAACUAUAAAAUAAAUGUGUCUAUCCAGAGGUGAAAAUAUAAAAUAAAUAUGUUGUCUAUCCAGAGGUGAGAACUAAAUAUGCUGUCUAUCCAGAGGUGAAAAUAUAAAAUAAAUAUAUGUCAAUCCAGAGGUGAAAAUAUAAAAUAAAUAUACUGUCUAUCCAGAGGAGAAAAUAUAAAAUAAAAAAAUGUCAAUCCAGAGGUGAAAAUAUAAAAUAAAAAAAUGUCAAUCCAGAGGUGAAAAUAUAAAAUAAAAAAAAUUCAAUCCAGAGGUGAGAACUAAAUAUGCUGUCUAUCCAGAGGUGAGAACUAAAUAUACUGUCUAUCCAGAGGUGAAAAUAUAAAAUAAAUAUACUGUCUAUCCAGAGGUGAGAACUAAAUAUGCUGUCUAUCCAGAGGUGAAAAUAUAAAAUAAAUAUAUCUCAAUCCAGAGGUGAAAAUAUAAAAUAAAUAUACUGUCUAUCCAGAGGUGAGAACUAAAUAUGCUGUCUAUCCAGAGGUGAGAACUAAAUAUACUGUCUAUCCAGAGGUGAAAAUAUAAAAUAAAUAUACUGUCUAUCCAGAGGUGAGAACUAAAUAUGCUGUCUAACCAGAGGUGAGAACUAAAUAUGCUGUCUAUCCAGAGGUGAGAACUAAAUAUACUGUCUAUCCAGAGGUGAAAAUAUAAAAUAAAUAUACUGUCUAUCCAGAGGUGAGAACUAAAUAUGCUGUCUAUCCAGAGGUGAAAAUAUAAAAUAAAUAUACUGUCUAUCCAGAGGUGAGAACUAAAUAUGCUGUCUAUCCAGAGGUGAGAACUAAAUAUGCUGUCUAUCCAGAGGUGAAAAUAUAAAAUAAAUAUGCUGUCUAUCCAGAGGUGAGAACUAAAUAUACUGUCUAUCCAGAGGUGAAAAUAUAAAAUAAAUAUACUGUCUAUCCAGAGGUGAGAACUAAAUAUGCUGUCUAACCAGAGGUGAGAACUAAAUAUGCUGUCUAUCCAGAGGUGAAAAUAUAAAAUAAAUAUACUGUCUAUCCAGAGGUGAGAACUAAAUAUACUGUCUAUCCAGAGGUGAGAACUAAAUAUGCUGUCUAUCCAGAGGUGAGAACUAAAUAUGCUGUCUAUCCAGAGGUGAGAACUAAAUAUACUGUCUAUCCAGAGGUGAGAACUAAAUAUGCUGUCUAUCCAGAGGUGAAAAUAUAAAAUAAAUAUACUGUCUAUCCAGAGGUGAGAACUAAAUAUACUGUCUAUCCAGAGGUGAGAACUAAAUAUACUGUCUAUCCAGAGGUGAGAACUAAAUAUGCUGUCUAUCCAGAGGUGAAAAUAUAAAAUAAAUAUACUGUCUAUCCAGAGGUGAGAACUAAAUAUACUGUCUAUCCAGAGGUGAGAACUAAAUAUGCUGUCUAACCAGAGGUGAGAACUAAAUAUACUGUCUAACCAGAGGUGAGAACUAAAUAUGCUGUCUAUCCAGAGGUGAAAAUAUAAAAUAAAUAUGCUGUCUAUCCAGAGGUGAGAACUAAAUAUGCUGUCUAUCCAGAGGUGAAAAUAUAAAAUAAAUAUAUGUCUAUCCAGAGGUGAAAAUAUAAAAUAAAUAUACUGUCUAUCCAGAGGUGAGAACUAAAUAUACUGUCUAUCCAGAGGUGAAAAUAUAAAAUAAAUAUACUGUCUAUCCAGAGGUGAGAACUAAAUAUGCUGUCUAUCCAGAGGUGAAAAUAUAAAAUAAAUAUACUGUCUAUCCAGAGGUGAGAACUAAAUAUGCUGUCUAUCCAGAGGUGAAAAUAUAAAAUAAAUAUACUGUCUAUCCAGAGGUGAGAACUAAAUAUGCUGUCUAUCCAGAGGUGAAAAUAUAAAUAAAUAUGCUGUCUAUCCAGAGGUGAGAACUAAAUAUGCUGUCUAUCCAGAGGUGAGAACUAAAUAUACUGUCUAUCCAGAGGUGAAAAUAUAAAAUAAAUAUGUUGUCUAUCCAGAGGUGAGAACUAAAUAUGCUGUCUAUCCAGAGGUGAAAAUAUAAAAUAAAUAUAUCUCAAUCCAGAGGUGAAAAUAUAAAAUAAAUAUACUGUCUAUCCAGAGGUGAGAACUAAAUAUACUGUCUAUCCAGAGGUGAGAACUAAAUAUACUGUCUAUCCAGAGGUGAAAAUAUAAAAUAAAUAUACUGUCUAUCCAGAGGUGAGAACUAAAUAUGCUGUCUAUCCAGAGGUGAAAAUAUAAAAUAAAUAUACUGUCUAUCCAGAGGUGAGAACUAAAUAUACUGUCUAUCCAGAGGUGAGAACUAAAUAUGCUGUCUAUCCAGAGGUGAGAACUAAAUAUGCUGUCUAACCAGAGGUGAGAACUAAAUAUGCUGUCUAUCCAGAGGUGAGAACUAAAUAUGCUGUCUAUCCAGAGGUGAGAACUAAAUAUGCUGUCUAUCCAGAGGUGAGAACUAAAUAUGCUGUCUAACCAGAGGUGAGAACUAAAUAUGCUGUCUAUCCAGAGGUGAGAACUAAAUAUGCUGUCUAACCAGAGGUGAGAACUAAAUAUACUGUCUAUCCAGAGGUGAAAAUAUAAAAUAAAUAUACUGUCUAUCCAGAGGUGAGAACUAAAUAUGCUGUCUAACCAGAGGUGAGAACUAAAUAUGCUGUCUAUCCAGAGGUGAGAACUAAAUAUACUGUCUAUCCAGAGGUGAAAAUAUAAAAUAAAUAUACUGUCUAUCCAGAGGUGAGAACUAAAUAUGCUGUCUAUCCAGAGGUGAAAAUAUAAAAUAAAUAUACUGUCUAUCCAGAGGUGAGAACUAAAUAUGCUGUCUAUCCAGAGGUGAGAACUAAAUAUGCUGUCUAUCCAGAGGUGAAAAUAUAAAAUAAAUAUGCUGUCUAUCCAGAGGUGAGAACUAAAUAUACUGUCCUAUCCAGAGGUGAAAAUAUAAAAUAAAU
Carassius auratus (goldfish) is the source of this 4687-nucleotide long non-coding RNA. Lineage: Eukaryota; Metazoa; Chordata; Actinopteri; Cypriniformes; Cyprinidae. The record is from Ensembl.